This 253-nucleotide ribosomal RNA is filed under the name uncultured bacterium. RNAcentral's name for it is "partial 16S ribosomal RNA". It matches the Rfam family "Bacterial small subunit ribosomal RNA", at positions 524 to 776 of the family's 1533-position model. The record is from RNAcentral.
UACGAAGGGGGCUAGCGUUGUUCGGAUUUAUUGGGCGUAAAGGGUGCGCAGGCGGUGUGGUAAGUUUGGUGUGAAAUCCUGGGGCCCAACCCCAGAAUUGCACUGAAUACUGCCAUGCUAGAGGACUGGAGAGGAGAUUGGAAUUCACGGUGUAGCAGUGAAAUGCGUAGAUAUCUGGAGGAACACCGGUGGCGAAGGCGGCAUCCUGGACCAACACUGACGCUGAGGAGCGAAAGCCAGGGGAGCAAACGGG